GCCAGCCCGCUCAGAAACUCAAAGGAAUUGACGGGGCCCGCACAAGCGGAGGAGCAUGUGGUUUAAUUCGAUGAUACGCGAGGAACCUUACCUGGGCUCGAACGUAAGAUGACUGUAGGUGAAAGCUUACAUCUCUUCGGAGCAUUUUACGAGGUGCUGCAUGGUUGUCGUCAGCUCGUGCCGUGAGGUGUCGGGUUAAGUCCCAUAACGAGCGCAACCCCUACCUUUAGUUGCCAUCAGGUUAAGCUGGGGACUCUAAAGGAACUGCCUACGCAAGUAGUGAGGAAGGCGGGGAUGACGUCAAAUCAGCACGGCCCUUACGUCCAGGGCUACACACGUGCUACAAUGGCCGAUACAGAGGGCAGCUACCUGGUGACAGGAUGCAAAUCUCCAAAGUCGGUCUCAGUUCGGAUCGGAGUCUGCAACCCGACUCCGUGAAGUUGGAUUCGCUAGUAAUCGCGCAUCAGCCAUGGCGCGGUGAAUACGUUCCCGGGCCUU
RNAcentral lists this ribosomal RNA (498 nucleotides) under uncultured Sphingobacteriales bacterium. RNAcentral describes it as "bacterial SSU rRNA". It matches the Rfam family "Bacterial small subunit ribosomal RNA", at positions 885 to 1382 of the family's 1533-position model. Lineage: Bacteria; Pseudomonadati; Bacteroidota; Sphingobacteriia; Sphingobacteriales. The record is from RNAcentral.